GGCAAUGAAUUAAUUACGUUUGUACUACAUGUAAAGGAAUCACUUAUAUUGACAGAUUAAUAUCUAUCUUGUAAACUUCAUUGAUUACAUUUAAAUACAUUAAAAUAAUUAGACAAUAUCUUUAUCAAUACAUUUUUAUUACAUCUUCAUUCCUUUAUUUCACAUGACUAAAAGUACAUUUGACAAUGGUAAUAAACAAUCAAUGAACAAAACAAAAAUUGAAAUCAGAUAAUAACUGUACAACUCAACACAUACUUCUAAAUAUUUCAGACUGCACUCAUUGUGCAAAGAUUAACUGACGGUGAUGCAGGAAUUAACUAUAUCAUAUCUCAUCCUGAGCAUAUUGUUCAUCCUGAGGUUAAAAAGAUUCUCAUGAAAAAGAAUAUUGCUAAUCGUGUAUGUACUAUUAUACCAACAUUAUUUAAAAUAAAUAUGAGACAUUUAUAUAUAUGUAUAUAGCCAUAUGUCUGAUGACACUUUCAAAAGUAAUAAGGGGUAUGGUACGGAAAAUUAUUCUAACAUCAUGUACCUCAAAUGAUUGCUAUACAUUUUACUGUCAAUUUCAAACUCUGUUAUGAAAUUAAAUUUUGACCACUGUAUAAAAUUAUCCUCUUAAGUGUCCCAUUAUUCAAAUCUCUUAUUCUUUACUCCCCUAAAACCUUGAAUUUAUUAACCAUGAAAUUUGAAACAUGUAAUUAUAUAUGGAAAACAAAAAUAUAUACAAUAUACGACAAAUAAAAUAGAACAGUAGUUACAGAGUAAACAAUAAUAUUAGCACAACAUAUGUGGUAUAAUUUUCAAGCUGCAUUAAUAUGAUAGCUUAGUUUGUACCAAUUUGGCCAAGAACAUUAUUAAAAUAGGUAAAAAUUCUAUUUUGCACAGAUCUAUACACUGGACAUGAUUUAACCAAAUGAAAUUUGUCCUGUAAACAUCUUUGUCAGAUUUACUUUGACAACAUAUUCGUUACAAAUGUGUUUGGAUAUAUGUAUAAGACCACACCAAAGGUACCAGUAUUCGUUAGUGAAACAAAUUAUACAUUAGUUGUUUUCCAUUGGUUGAUUUUAAAAAUGACCACUGUGUUGUAUGGCAAGCUUACAGCCUAAUCAUCAAAUUGAAAAACUGUGGUAUUAAUGUUUUUUUAAAGUCUGAGUUUUUGUAUAGUCUUACAUUUUUGUCAUGUAGUGCAAGGCAAAUGUUGAGGAGAAUCUUCAGUAACGUGUAAUUUGAUACAAAAUUCCAACAAACCAGUUUAAUUUCAAAAUAAAUACAAAAUAAAGGGACAAACUACUUAACUACUUAAAGGGGGUGAAGAUGUAUGUAUGUUAUUUUUAAUGAUAAAAUGCAUUGUGGUCAGGCAGAUGAAAGAAAAAAAAAGUAAAACUUAAAAGUAUGAAAAAAAUAAAAUAAAAAUGCCCUUGAUGUUGAAGAGUUGAUCCGUAAAAAAAAUUCAAAUAUCAUCCAACUGAUAAAAUUACUUGUUUAUAGAUAACACAUCUUGUGGUGGAUGAAGCACAUUGCAUCCUAUCCUGGGGAAACUCUGAUUUUCGGCCUGCUUACCAGAAGCUAGGUCUACUCAGAGCUGUAAUGAAAGACUCAAACAUCUUAGCUCUAACAGCAACAGCAAAUGGCAUGUCUCAAAAAAAAUAUUUGCUCAUCACUGAGAAUGAAAGAGCCAGUAAUUAUUGUUGAAUCACCAGAUAGGUAGAGACAUAAGCUUAUUAAAAAUUUAGAAACAUGAUAUUAUAAAAUGUGAUGUGGUAUGAUUGCCAAUCAGACAACUAUCAAUCAGAGAUGAAAUGAAAAGAGCUUGACUCAUCAGAUGGAUACUUAUAAAAAAACAUUUAAACCAAAAAAUAUAGUGGAGUUGGCAAUGUACUUACACAUCCCCACAAUAAAAAGACACUAAAUCUAUAUCUGAUAUAUUGUACACACAUCUACUGACAGUUAGUUCACAGCCAAUAACAAAAUGAAAAACAUG
This 1978-nucleotide long non-coding RNA is filed under the name Mytilus galloprovincialis (Mediterranean mussel). The record is from RNAcentral. Lineage: Eukaryota; Metazoa; Mollusca; Bivalvia; Mytilida; Mytilidae.